This 466-nucleotide long non-coding RNA is filed under the name Physcomitrium patens. Its description in RNAcentral is "long non-coding RNA (PPAT_LNC005346)". Lineage: Eukaryota; Viridiplantae; Streptophyta; Bryopsida; Funariales; Funariaceae. The record is from RNAcentral.
AAAUUUUAUUUUUUUUAUAGUUUUUUUUUGUUUUUUUUUUUAUUUUUUACAACAAUCACAAAAUGUAUUUGAAACAGAGUACAAAACAUAUCUAUUCACAUUUUCUAAUGCUUAACAAACAAUAUAUAAGAAUCAUUGAUAGUUUCUCUGUGAAGGUUACAAGCAUUAACUGAAGCAUAAAGCUUUAUUGUUGUUUUUCUUAAUUUAACUAUUCCAUAAAAGAAUCAUGAGGCUGGGUCCACUGGUUUAAUAAACAUGGCUUUUAAAAAGCAGCUAAGAUUUUAUACGCAGCUCAUAAAUGAUUUUAUUUCAACUCAUCCGUAUUUUAUUGAGAUAGUUAAUUUAGAAAAAUUAUGUAAUUUUAUGGAAAUAAUUUUCUUUUUUCUUUUUUCUUUUUUUGUGAUUUUGAAUCUUAUUUGAUACAAUGAACAAUUAUAUAUAUUUUAAAGUCUCAUAAAAUGGUUUU